AUUAGAUAGUUGGCGGGGUAAUGGCCCACCAAGUCGACGAUGGGUAGCUGGUCUGAGAGGACGAUCAGCCACACUGGAACUGAGACACGGUCCAGACUUCUACGGAAGGCAGCAGUGAGGAAUAUUGCUCAAUGGGCGAAAGCCUGAAGCAGCGACGCCGCGUGAGGGAUGAAAUCCGUUAGGAUGUAAACGGCCAACUACGUGCCAGCAGCCGCGGUAAUACGUAGGGUUCAAGCGUUGUCCGGAAUUACUGGGUGUAAAGGGUCCGCAGGCGGGCAGACAAGUCGGUGGUGAAAGCUCACGGCUCAACCGUGAGAUUGCCUUCGAUACUGUCUGUCUUGAGUUCGACAGAGGAUGAUGGAAUUCAUGGUGUAGCGGUGAUAUGCGUAGAGAUCAUGAAGAACACCAGUAGCGAAGGCGGUCAUCUGGCUCGAUACUGACGCUCAGGGACGAAAGCGUGGGUAGCAAACAGGAUUAGAUACCCUGGUAGUCCACGCCUUAAACGAUGGAUAUUCGGUGUCGGUCCGCAAGGAUCGGUGCCUGAGCCAACGCGUUAAAUAUCCCACCUGGGGAG
RNAcentral lists this ribosomal RNA (574 nucleotides) under uncultured bacterium. RNAcentral describes it as "bacterial SSU rRNA". It matches the Rfam family "Bacterial small subunit ribosomal RNA", at positions 240 to 880 of the family's 1533-position model. The record is from RNAcentral.